GAUGAACGCUGGCGGCGUGCCUAAUACAUGCAAGUCGAGCGAACAGACGAGGAGCUUGCUCCUCUGACGUUAGCGGCGGACGGGUGAGUAACACGUGGAUAACCUACCUAUAAGACUGGGAUAACUUCGGGAAACCGGAGCUAAUACCGGAUAAUAUAUUGAACCGCAUGGUUCAAUAGUGAAAGACGGUUUUGCUGUCACUUAUAGAUGGAUCCGCGCCGCAUUAGCUAGUUGGUAAGGUAACGGCUUACCAAGGCGACGAUGCGUAGCCGACCUGAGAGGGUGAUCGGCCACACUGGAACUGAGACACGGUCCAGACUCCUACGGGGGGCAGCAGUAGGGAAUCUUCCGCAAUGGGCGAAAGCCUGGCGGAGCAACGCCGCGUGAGUGAUGAAGGUCUUCGGAUCGUAAAACUCUGUUAUUAGGGAAGAACAAAUGUGUAAGUAACUAUGCACGUCUUGACGGUACCUAAUCAGAAAGCCACGGCUAACUACGUG
This 497-nucleotide ribosomal RNA is filed under the name uncultured bacterium. RNAcentral describes it as "partial 16S ribosomal RNA". It matches the Rfam family "Bacterial small subunit ribosomal RNA", at positions 28 to 507 of the family's 1533-position model. The record is from RNAcentral.